RNAcentral lists this long non-coding RNA (2756 nucleotides) under Homo sapiens (human). RNAcentral describes it as "non-protein coding LINC00847:5". Lineage: Eukaryota; Metazoa; Chordata; Mammalia; Primates; Hominidae. The record is from RNAcentral.
GUUGGAAAAUCCCACUUUACUUCAAGUGAAGUCACUGGGUUGUCCCCAUGAAAUAUCUCCACAAUGGGUGUGCUAGACCUUUACUCUCUGUGGCACCACCAAGACCCCCUCACCCUGCCAGAGCCCUCUGAAGUGUACUCAGAAUGGAGGGGCUGGAAGUGGGGCCAGUGGUCCUGGUAGUCAGCCUCCCCUUCUGACACAAGAAUUAUCGUGGAACAGCUUGUGUGACCGAUCAACUGGUCUCUCCAUCUUUAAGCCAUUGUCUUGUUGACUCUGUUACUGCAGAGUUUGGGGAGGUCUCAUGGCUUCUCGCAUCCUAUUUCCUGAGCUUCCCUGAAGCCAACUUCUGGCCACUGGUAUGUGAUGCGAGCACAGUGCCUCCUCCUGCUCCUCCAGGAAGCUUCUGCUGAUUGAACGCAGGCCAGAUGGCGAGAUCCGGAGCAACCUUCUUAGAUCAAGGGAAGAAAGGGGCACAAGAGGGGAGUAGGUAACAAGAUAAAAGGAGCUCCCUCCCUGAUGACUACAGAGCCAUCGUGGCAGCCCUGGGCCUCCAUUUCAGACGUUCAUCUUGCCUAAGCCACCACCAUCAGGGUCUCAGUCAGUCAUCAUUCUCAUUUACUCGGGUGGCUGGGUGAGGGCGGAAUACUACCUUCCAGCUGUCUGAGAUUAAGCCUAAGCCACCACCAUCAGGGUCUCAGUCAGUCAUCAUUCUCAUUUACUCGGGUGGCUGGGCGAGGGCGGAAUACUACCUUCCAGCUGUCUGAGAUUAAGCAGAACAGCAGCUAAAGCAGUAACAGCAGGUCUCCUUCAGCAGCUUGCCACAGGGAAGAGGGUCCCGCGUGAACCGAACUCAACUUCCACCUGCGCAGAGGUAGCUACCAUUUGCGUAGAGGUAGCUGGGUCUUUAAGGUUAGAGGGAAGGCGCAGGGAGGGAGAGACGGCGGGUGGGGGUUGAACAAAGUGGAGAUUCACAAAAGCAGACUAGGGCGGGCGACGUGAUCAGAUGACCUGUGCGGGCGGCAGCCUCCUGCCCUCCUCCCCUUCGUGCGCCGGCUGGAGCGAAGAGUUCUUUUGACAGCCGUGAGCUUCCCCGCCAGGAACUUACUGGGGCUGCAUCACCCUAGAAACGUGGCUUUGGGCUGUGGAAACGCUGCCUCUGUGGAAGUCUCUCCUCGCGGGGGUGGACGGGUCGCUGCGCGCCCAGCGUUCUUCUGCGGUUCUCACAGCCCGCCGCCGCCGCCGCCUCGGGGACCUUUGCGGGGAGGCCUCAGGGCACCUUCCUCCUCUCUCUCAGGCACGUCCUCGACCUCAGUUGCCACGUGCACAUGCUGGUGCCUUCCAGGCUGGAGUAUAGUGGCAUGAUCAUAGAUCACUGCAGCCUCAAACUCCUGGGCUCAAGCGAUCCUCCCACCUCAGCCUCCAUAUAGCUGGUGGGGACCAAGUUUCUAACACAUGAAUGUUGGGAGACACAUUCAGACCAUCGCAGUGGCCUUAUAAAAAGAGACACAAGAGCUUGCUCUCUGCCAUGUGAGAAUACCACAAGAAGACUGUCCUCAGCAAAUCAGAAAGCGGGUGGACCCUCAUCAGACACCAGAUGUGCCUGCACCUUGAUCUUGGACUUGCCAGCCUUCAGAACAGUAAGAAAGAAAUGUGUGUUGUUUAAGCCACCCAGUCUAUGGUAACUUGCUAUAGCAGCCCACUAGGAGACCCCAAGAUAUUUAAAAACUCAUCAGCACCUGCUUUCUGCAUCUGGACCCUGAUCUUCUGGUGGGUUUACCAGUUACUUGUAGAGUGUCCCUGUGAUAGUUUUAGGUGUCAACUUGACAGGAUUGAGGGAUGCCUAGAUGGCUGGGGAAGCACUGUUUCUGAGAAGGACCAUGUUUUUGGAGGAGACUGUUUUAUGAGUGAAUUUCAGGGGACACAUUCAGAUCAUGGCAGUGGCAUUAUAAAGAGAGACACAAAAGCUUGCUCUCUCUCUCUGCCAUGUAAGACUACCACACAAAGACUGCCAUCUGCAAACCAGAAGCAGGUGGGCUUUCCUCAGACACCAGAUCUGCCUGCACCUUGAUCUUGGACUUGCCAGCCUUCAGAACUCUAAGAAAGAAAUGGUAGCAUGGCUUGGUCUAAGUUGGAAGGCCUGAGAAACAAGCACAUGGUGGAACUGAGUUCAAGGAUAAAGACUUGAGAAUACCUGCUCAGUGGACUGAGUAGGGAAGAUCAACCCUCAAUGUAGGCAGGCACUAUCCAAUCACCUGAGGGCCCAGAUGGAACAAAAAGGUGGAAGAAGGGUGAAUUCUCUCUUCCAGAGCUGUGACACCCUUCUCAUGCCCUUGUACCACACAACUCUAGGUCCUUUGGCCUUUGGACUCUGACACUUGCACCAGUGGCCCUCUGGGGCUCUCAAGCCUUUAGCCUUGAACUUAGUUACACCAUGUGCCUCCUUGUUUCUCAGGCCUUCCAACUUGGAUCAGGCCAUGCCACCGGCUUCUCUGAUUCUCCAGCUUGCAGAUGGUAUAUUGUGACCCUGGCAUUUAAUAACUAUGACUUUGGUCUUAAGCAAUUUUCUUCCUCUGUGGAUUGAUAUUUACAUAUCAAUGUGGAUAAUAAUUUCUUACCACGGUAACUGUUGUGAGGUAAAAAUGAGUUAACAUAAGUAAAACCGAGCACAUGCAAACCAUCCGAAAUGGUUAAUACUUACUAUUUGUACUUGAAGAAAUAAAUGUUUUUGACAAUAAACUUCUUGUGCAGUUUUCCUC